CCUACGGGGGGCUGCAGUAGGGAAUUGUUCGCAAUGGGCGCAAGCCUGACGACGCAACGCCGCGUGGAGGAUGAAGACCUUCGGGUCGUAAACUCCUUUCGAUCGAGACGAAUGGCUUCCCAUCUAACACAUGGGGAGAAUGACGGUACCGAGAGAAGAAGCCCCGGCUAACUCCGUGCCAGCAGCCGCGGUAAUACGGGGGGGGCAAGCGUUGUUCGGAAUUACUGGGCGUAAAGGGCUCGUAGGCGGCCAACUAAGUCAGACGUGAAAUCCCUCGGCUUAACCGGGGAACUGCGUCUGAUACUGGAUGGCUUGAGUGUGGGAGAGGGAUGCGGAAUUCCAGGUGUAGCGGUGAAAUGCGUAGAUAUCUGGAGGAACACCGGUGGCGAAGGCGGCAUCCUGGACCAUUACUGACGCUGAGUGAGCGAAAGCCAGGGGAG
RNAcentral lists this ribosomal RNA (440 nucleotides) under uncultured bacterium. Its description in RNAcentral is "bacterial SSU rRNA". It matches the Rfam family "Bacterial small subunit ribosomal RNA", at positions 338 to 768 of the family's 1533-position model. The record is from RNAcentral.